UCCAAUUGGUUGAGUUGAGAGCUCUUCUCCUCCAUUGUCUCGCCAAUCUAUGGAGCAGAACCAGAGAGCUUCGAGGGCUUUCCAGUUCCACCCUGCUAGACCUGCCAUUCUCGAUCUGUUCAACCUCUACUUAGGAAGAAGUGCUCGCCAAAAAGCCGAAGAGUCAAUCCGAGAACCUCCGUAC
Molecule: non-coding RNA, 184 nt
Organism: Camellia sinensis
Lineage: Eukaryota; Viridiplantae; Streptophyta; Magnoliopsida; Ericales; Theaceae
Source: RefSeq, a predicted model, not a curated record